CUCUACUGAAUGUUAUAGAAAGGUUUAUGGAAAGUUUUGGUCACUUGUCCUUGCUAGGUUCUGCCUCUGGAAGUUUAAAUUUGGGAGGUUUAUCAACACCCUUCCUUGAGUAUUCCCUCCAUCGCCGUGCCGCUGCGGCGGCUCUUUCCGCUCUUUCUUUAGUUUCAUCUUCUGCAAAAUGAUACCGUUUAAAAAACUUGAGUAGAAUAAUGAACAAUAAUCCUCAUAUCACACUAACUGCCAUAACAUAUUAAUAAUUAUAUAAUAGCAGCAAAUUUUCUUUAUAGAAGUAUAAAAAUAUAGAAACUACAAAUGUAAAUGCUCCUUGAUCAAGACUCGAGGGUUGCUUGGAUUGGCUUUUUGAGCUUAUCUACUAGCAAUAAGCACUUAUAAGGCCGUUUGAAAGAUCUUAUGGAAACAACUAAUGAUAUGUUCAUAAGCUAUUAUAGGAUAUGCUUAUAUGAAAACAAUUUGACUUUAAUUUAUCUUGGUUAUAGAGCUAGCUUAUACGUAAGUGUUUAUAUGAUAAGCACUUAUUAAGUUGUUUAUUCAAAGAGAAAGAAAUGAAGACUUGAAACAAUACAGCACCGAUUAGGCUAAAACACAAACAUUUGGAAAUAAUUAAUAUGAUUAUUGAUUUCCAUUAGUUUAAGUUUAUAUAUAUCCCUUUCGUGCUUUCGAAUCCGC
This 687-nucleotide long non-coding RNA is filed under the name Medicago truncatula (barrel medic). RNAcentral's name for it is "lncRNA gene11512". The record is from RNAcentral. Lineage: Eukaryota; Viridiplantae; Streptophyta; Magnoliopsida; Fabales; Fabaceae.